RNAcentral lists this ribosomal RNA (253 nucleotides) under uncultured bacterium. RNAcentral describes it as "partial 16S ribosomal RNA". It matches the Rfam family "Bacterial small subunit ribosomal RNA", at positions 524 to 776 of the family's 1533-position model. The record is from RNAcentral.
UACGUAGGUGGCUAGCGUUGUCCGGAUUUACUGGGCGUAAAGCGCGCGCAGGCGGUCGUUCAAGUCGAGUGUGAAAGCCCCCGGCUCAACUGGGGAGGGUCACUCGAUACUGAUCGACUUGAAGGCAGAAGAGGGAAGCGGAAUUCCCGGUGUAGUGGUGAAAUGCGUAGAUAUCAAGAGGAACACCUGAGGUGAAGACGGGUUGCUGGGCUGACACUGACGCUGAGGCGCGAAAGCCAGGGGAGCAAACGGG